This 58-nucleotide transfer RNA is filed under the name Habropoda laboriosa. It matches the Rfam family "tRNA", at positions 8 to 63 of the family's 71-position model. From Rfam's summary of the family: Transfer RNA (tRNA) molecules are approximately 80 nucleotides in length. Their secondary structure includes four short double-helical elements and three loops (D, anti-codon, and T loops). The record is from Rfam by way of RNAcentral. Lineage: Eukaryota; Metazoa; Arthropoda; Insecta; Hymenoptera; Apidae.
UGGCGUAAUGAGCAAAGCUUCGGCCUGCCAAACCGAAGGUCCCGGGUUCGAUUCCCGG